GCGGCGCGGCUGGGGGAGCAGUCUCUGGGUGGGGGUGGGGCUCUGCUGGGCGGCCGCUCCCAUUCCCGUCCCCGCAGCUCGAGAGGUGAGCUCAGCCGGGUGUGGGGGAAGAGCCAGGGUGGUAUCCCGCACCCCAGCGCAAGGCGGAGCAGGGCCGACGGCCUGGGCAGCGCCAAUGGCCAGCGCGCGGGUCCGGGCAGGCUAGCGGGAAGGCGCCGCUCGCCGCGCCGGGUCACGUGGCGCGGUCACGUGGCGCGCAGCCGGACCGGCGGCGGCCGAGGGAGGCGGAGACUUGCCAGAGACGCGGGGGGAGGAGGCGGCGGCGCGGGGCUGCUGGAGGCGGAGGCGGAGAGGAGAGGAGAGCUGCGGGGCCGCUGCCACGGCCGCCCAGGAGAUUUGUAAGAUUCCAAGGCCUUCAAGCCAAGAUCAGCCUGAUGGUUCCUGAAAUAACUGGGAAAACAAAUGCUUCAAGUGCCAGUUGAAGAUUGUGUCUAUGUAUAUUCGAAACCUUCUUUCUAUAUAUACGCAUUUACAUGAGAAGACAGGCUCAUUCUUGUGCACAUUUGGGAGUUUUUCAACUGAUGAAAAUUAAUUUAAGAAUCAGAUGGAGCAACUUGACACUUCUGGGCGCAGGAGCCCAGGGAGAAAAGUAUAUCACUAAUGGCCAAUUUUCCAUAUGGCCUUCAUGGGUAAAGAGAAUUUGCAAAAAGAAGAAAAAAAUUUGCAUAGAUUAAGCCUCAAAAAUACCUCUCCAGUUUAAAGAAGGAAAUAAAUGAGAAGGUGAUCACAGAAGUGUGAAUUCAACAUUGCAGGAUAAUAUCUUAAAAUAGCAAUUGGAACCAAUAAUUACAAAAGUAAACAUCAAGGAAAACCCAAGCAAAGCUUCCUUUUGCCUGGAUGAAAGGCUGUGGAAACAAGCUCUGAAUGGGAACAAGAAGGUGCCCAUUGGCACAGUGACUCUAGGGAAAUGGUGCAAUCCUGGGGACUCUGAUACUAGCUUGGGUGUAUGGUUAGAGGGAUUGU
This 1023-nucleotide long non-coding RNA is filed under the name Heterocephalus glaber (naked mole-rat). RNAcentral's name for it is "lncRNA (ENSHGLG00100035154.1)". The record is from RNAcentral. Lineage: Eukaryota; Metazoa; Chordata; Mammalia; Rodentia; Bathyergidae.